Molecule: transfer RNA, 87 nt
Filed under: Betaproteobacteria bacterium
Lineage: Bacteria; Pseudomonadati; Pseudomonadota; Betaproteobacteria
Description: tRNA-Leu
Rfam family: tRNA
About the family: Transfer RNA (tRNA) molecules are approximately 80 nucleotides in length.
Source: RNAcentral
GCCGGAGUGGUGGAACUGGUAGACGCGCCGGACUCAAAAUCCGGUGCCAGCGAUGGCGUGCGGGUUCGAGUCCCGCCUCCGGCACCA